UCCAUCUGGGCGAAACCGUCGCCCUCGCUCUCAUCAGUAGCCAGGCCAUUUUCACGUACGGUGAGGUCGAUGGCGUGCAUGUCGUCCUCACCGGACCCGGUGUGUGUGCUUCCAAACUAAGUAAACGUGCAACCGCCCGCUGCUGUCCCUGUACCUGGCCAUCAUUUUCGACGGUUUGGAUGGCCUCAUCAGAUUCUCACUUUUAGGUAACCUGUAAUUUUGGUUGCACUUGUU
RNAcentral lists this long non-coding RNA (234 nucleotides) under Setaria italica (foxtail millet). RNAcentral's name for it is "long non-coding RNA (SITA_LNC006977)". The record is from RNAcentral. Lineage: Eukaryota; Viridiplantae; Streptophyta; Magnoliopsida; Poales; Poaceae.